UGCUGCAGUUGAGCUUUGUGAUUCUCUGCACUUUCUUGUUUCAAGAAUCUACAGGUCUUGAUUUCCCAUCAUCUAAAUGGGCUCUUGAUCUUAGUGUCUAUGGAGGCAGAAACCGAUUUCUAGUUCAACUAAACGUUCCUCAUCCCAAAACCCUUCAUGCUCAACCACCUCUGCAUAAUCCAUCAAGUAGAGAUGCGCCUUCCGCGC
Salvia hispanica is the source of this 207-nucleotide non-coding RNA. NCBI's taxonomy places the organism in Eukaryota, Viridiplantae, Streptophyta, Magnoliopsida, Lamiales, Lamiaceae. The record is from RefSeq and is a predicted model, not a curated record.